Cinara cedri is the source of this 312-nucleotide non-coding RNA. The record is from the annotation of a GenBank genome assembly. Lineage: Eukaryota; Metazoa; Arthropoda; Insecta; Hemiptera; Aphididae.
AAAAUAUUUAGUAGUUUCGUAUGCUACUAUGUGUAUUAUGUCUACAGAACGAAAACGGAUCCAGGCCGAAAUAACGGCGAAGUUAAACGAGCGAAAUCCAAAUCAAUUAGGCAAAUGAAGUGAAUGAAUAAAAAAAGUGAAAUAUUCCGAAACACCGGCAGUUUUUUGAGGGAUUGCAAAAUAUUGCACAAUUUACAGGACGCAAAAAUCAGUCGGCUAGAAAAAUAAAAAAUAUUAAAACACGAGGUACAUUCGCAAUAAAUGUUUUAAAUAUUUUUUAACAAUAAAGAUAAUUGCGAUACCUAUAUUGUA